GCGUUCAUCAUUCCUUGAACUUCAAAAUUCAUCGCGUGCAGAAUACACUCCACCGAAAGAAAAAAAGUGAAAAAAUGUCUCUUUAAACAGUAAUUCCAUCCAGUUCUGUACUUCAAUACGGUCGGCACCGCCAGCGUUGAUGGAAGUUUUUUCCUCAUUCGAUGCUCGCAGCUUCCAUUAGGUAUCCUCAUUCGAAACAAGCUUGGACCGUUCCUACACAACCUUGAAUUUAUUUUUCCGCUGAACUCACAAACUCAUGGUACUUAAAAGUCAAAAGCCGAAGUGUGAAAAGUGAAGUUCGUGUGAAGUUUUGACCAAAAAUACCCAAAGUUUUUUUGUGACAUAACUAAGCUAAUAUAUCUCUUGAUUCAUAUAGCAUAACAAUAUCGCAUAGGCGUAGAGAAGCGGCUAAACUAACAUACAGGUCAGCACGCGGUUAGAAAAGUAAAACUAUUUCAUCCACACUUGCCGCCGAAUAACUGAAAGUUUAAAUUCGAGUGGUUCUGUGUCUUAUAUGUUUCUAGGAAUUUAACCUCCAUGCAUGGGUCCGUUGAUUUUUCUGCUCGUUGCAUGUUUCGGAGUACUAGCCGAAGAAUCAUCUCCGAAACAAAAGGAGUCCGAGGUGACGGAACCGUGCCACACAAUUCAGUUUAAAAGGGGUGAUAUCCUCUCUACACCCAAUUUAUGGAACAUUCAGAAUGCAAAGGUUCAGCCGCGGCACUGGUUCUACGCCGUGUCGAACAAAGAACUUUGGCACGUAGCCGCGGAUAGGAAUAUGAUGAAACAAAGAGGUUUUCCCGGCUACGUUACACCGGCGCACUUUUCUAAGGAGCGAUUGUGUACGAUACGACGGCGAGUCGAAGGCCGACCCAACACAGACGGUUCGGGACUCCUGCUCGCAAGAAGGAUGAGGAGCAUCCCCCUGUUUUUCGAUUUCCCGGGGUGCAACUGCCAUCACUACGUGGACUACAUCGCCUACGGCAAGACCUACGGCAGCUGGCGCUCGUGGCACUACCUCCCGGCUAGCAGCUACUGCCCCGUCCAUAACGAGUUCAACGUCGACACGAACGUCCUAUCGUCUGACUUCAAGCUCGCCCGGAAGAGCAGCAAUGGGACACUCGAGUACCUCGAGUGGCCCACGGGCUGGACCCAGCAGAAGAUGACAGAGGAGCUGGCCAACAGUCAUUGCUGUCCACAACCUGUGCGAGACGCGACGGGCGCCCUCAAGAGGAUGGGCAGUAGAGCCUGGUCCUUCACGAACCUCGCCCGCCUCACCUCGAAGAAGGACUGGUUGCAGGACCGUCCGAAUUCACCCAACGAACGUCAGGACUCACGCCUCACACACGUAGGUUCCUUCGACGAACGUCACGAUACAUCGAACAAACUAACGGCCUCGUUCAAGGAACCUAAACCUUCGUUCAAACGUACGGAUUCGUACGAAAAACGCGAGGUUGCGUUAAAAAAGGACUUCAGUCAUUCGUUAAGAAAGGUUACUCGUUCAAGGAAGGCCAGGGCUGGAUAAAAGGGGGCAAGAGUUUGCUUAGCAAAAGUCUCAGCCGGGCUAGGGAUGGACUAGGCUCCUUUAAAGAGGGUUCAGGCUCGACCAAGGGGAAAGGGGGCUUGCCCAAAGAGGCUCAGCAGCCUGAUUCCUGAAAUUUACUUCGACAUGAAAAGAAUCAAGGAUCGAUAUAUUACGCAGCGCAGAUAGGGCUAUGUCUUGUAUUCUUGCCGACAAAGGCGGUUAAAGUUUAAACAAUCGGGCUGCAGAGCUCAGGAAUUCUCGGCAGGAUAUUUAGGAGAGGGAGGAGGUCACACAUGAGGAUAUUCAUUCUUGUUGUGCUUUUUUUCUCAAAAGUGGGUCAGAAAACACCCUAUGUGCGACAUUGUUACGCACUUAUAUAGUAAAAUCGAUCGAUGUUCAAACCGUUUAGGGUUUUAAUUUUACUGGUGAUAUCAAGCUUCCAGGACUUAAUGUCCACCUACCUUUCGUCCAUUAAAUAAAUGUCCACCGCUAUUAAUGUCCACUAAACGUUAAGUCCAGUCUUUGUUAAGUCCAAAUGAUUUAAUGUCCAACCAUGAAUAUGCCCAAAAUUGUCCAAAUUGUGUACAUGUUAUGUCCACAUUUUUUUCUUCUCAUUUAAAUGACAGGAACCACCUCAAAAAUAAAUGCAUACUACUACUACCUUUCAUUCUUGAAAACAUUUCAUUCGUGAAUCAAGUCAUGAAAGAGAACUGACUUUAAGAGCAGAUAAAAGCAUAUGUUCAUGGUACACUGUACGGAUAUGAUAAGAUGAA
RNAcentral lists this long non-coding RNA (2295 nucleotides) under Bemisia tabaci. RNAcentral describes it as "lncRNA ENSSSA2NGG003967". The record is from RNAcentral. Lineage: Eukaryota; Metazoa; Arthropoda; Insecta; Hemiptera; Aleyrodidae.